RNAcentral lists this ribosomal RNA (1361 nucleotides) under uncultured bacterium. RNAcentral describes it as "bacterial SSU rRNA". It matches the Rfam family "Bacterial small subunit ribosomal RNA", at positions 28 to 1382 of the family's 1533-position model. The record is from RNAcentral.
GAUGAACGCUAGCUACAGGCUUAACACAUGCAAGUCGAGGGGCAGCAUGGUCUUAGCUUGCUAAGGCCGAUGGCGACCGGCGCACGGGUGAGUAACACGUAUCCAACCUGCCGUCUACUCUUGGACAGCCUUCUGAAAGGAAGAUUAAUACAAGAUGGCAUCAUGAGUCCGCAUGUUCACAUGAUUAAAGGUAUUCCGGUAGACGAUGGGGAUGCGUUCCAUUAGAUAGUAGGCGGGGUAACGGCCCACCUAGUCUUCGAUGGAUAGGGGUUCUGAGAGGAAGGUCCCCCACAUUGGAACUGAGACACGGUCCAAACUCCUACGGGAGGCAGCAGUGAGGAAUAUUGGUCAAUGGGCGAGAGCCUGAACCAGCCAAGUAGCGUGAAGGAUGACUGCCCUAUGGGUUGUAAACUUCUUUUAUAAAGGAAUAAAGUCGGGUAUGGAUACCCGUUUGCAUGUACUUUAUGAAUAAGGAUCGGCUAACUCCGUGCCAGCAGCCGCGGUAAUACGGAGGAUCCGAGCGUUAUCCGGAUUUAUUGGGUUUAAAGGGAGCGUAGAUGGAUGUUUAAGUCAGUUGUGAAAGUUUGCGGCUCAACCGUAAAAUUGCAGUUGAUACUGGAUAUCUUGAGUGCAGUUGAGGCAGGCGGAAUUCGUGGUGUAGCGGUGAAAUGCUUAGAUAUCACGAAGAACUCCGAUUGCGAAGGCAGCCUGCUAAGCUGCAACUGACAUUGAGGCUCGAAAGUGUGGGUAUCAAACAGGAUUAGAUACCCUGGUAGUCCACACGGUAAACGAUGAAUACUCGCUGUUUGCGAUAUACUGCAAGCGGCCAAGCGAAAGCGUUAAGUAUUCCACCUGGGGAGUACGCCGGCAACGGUGAAACUCAAAGGAAUUGACGGGGGCCCGCACAAGCGGAGGAACAUGUGGUUUAAUUCGAUGAUACGCGAGGAACCUUACCCGGGCUUAAAUUGCAGAUGAAUUACGGUGAAAGCCGUAAGCCGCAAGGCAUCUGUGAAGGUGCUGCAUGGUUGUCGUCAGCUCGUGCCGUGAGGUGUCGGCUUAAGUGCCAUAACGAGCGCAACCCUUGUUGUCAGUUACUAACAGGUUCCGCUGAGGACUCUGACAAGACUGCCAUCAUAAGAUGUGAGGAAGGUGGGGAUGACGUCAAAUCAGCACGGCCCUUACGUCCGGGGCUACACACGUGUUACAAUGGGGGGGUACAGAGGGCCGCUACCACGCGAGUGGAUGCCAAUCCCCAAAACCUCUCUCAGUUCGGACUGGAGUCUGCAACCCGACUCCACGAAGCUGGAUUCGCUAGUAAUCGCGCUUCAGCCACGGCGCGGUAAAUACGUUUCCCGAGCCCU